AUUAAAUGCGUUAUAUAUUUCUAGUAUUUAUCUUAUAAACUUUUCUAUUUUUUCUACUGCGUCCAAGCUUUAAAGCGACCAGAUUUAAUUUAAAAAAAUAUGAAAUGCAAAAAGAUUAUUGUUCAAUGACAUUUUAUAUUAUUCCAGAUAGCAUAUUUGUGUUUUUAUUCGUAUUAUAUUUGUAGCAAGAACCAUAUACUUUGGCAUAACCAAUGAUUAGUGUAAGCUGUAAGGUGAUGAUCCAGAUACAUGCUAUUCCAGAACGCAAAUACGUAUUGUCUGUAUUUGCAUACACGAAUAAUGUGUUGUUGUUUCAGGUAGAAAGUUACAGUAUUAAAUCAAAAUACAGUGUAUUCAAUGUACAUGUCACGCUUGUUAUUCGAUAGACAGAGAUGACGCUAUCAGUUGUCAAAUUUGUCAAAUAUUCAGAAUCGGCUGUACCCUGUCAUUACUGGGCCCUUAUAUAUAAUAGGUACAGCGAUGCAUAGAAACACUAUCAAUUACAGAAACAUCGUUGUGAACCGCAACCAUGAAUACCUCAGCGUGCCUAGUGAUGGCCCUUCUAGUCUCCUCCCUAUUAACAAUCAACGCCCAGCAUUUCGCAGGCGGUUUCGGUGGUCCAUAUGGAUACGGACACGGAUACUACGCACCUGGUAUCGGUGGCGCUGGAUUCGGCGGUCCAGGGUUUGGCGGCCGCGGGUUCGGUGGAACUGGUCUGGGGCUUCUAGGAGCAGGCCUUCUGGGCGCCAGUCUGGGUGGUGUUCUCGGCGGGCAAGCGGGCGCUGGAAGUGGUAUUGCUCUCUUGGGAUCUGCCGCACUACUGUCUUCCAGAAAUCCAUUGGCACAAACCGUAGGAGCCGUUGGCUUGGGAAGCACCCUCCUUGGCUGAUGUCAUUAUGGUGUGUUUUUGUUUGUUUUUAUGGUUCCAUACGUGAUUAUGAUAUGGAGGAAAUAACAUGAGUGUAAAUACAUGAUUUAUGCUACGUAAAUAUAUAUGUUUGCACGAUGGAAAUAAACUUUUUGGCUCAGUUUAUUCAGGGGACAAUUUAAUGCCUAUUAAGGUGUUGUUUAUUUUACCCGCAUUUCAGGACAUGAAUGAAAACCGCGUGUGCAAGUGUACCUAAAAUAAAAGCGUACUAAAACUGAUUUUUUUUAUGUAGCUUAUCAUUAAUUAUGUUUAAUAAAAGAAAACAUAUUUUUACGGUUGACAUAUUGACACAUCAAUGUGGUCUUCAUUAAAAAUAAAUAAACGUUUGAACACCAAAGCCUUUCCCGUCUUCGUUGCUGAAUAGUGUGAACAUUAUCU
RNA transcript from Dreissena polymorpha, 1306 nucleotides. It is a transcript of the gene named neuropeptide-like protein 31, with no coding region annotated. The record is from RefSeq and is a predicted model, not a curated record. NCBI's taxonomy places the organism in Eukaryota, Metazoa, Mollusca, Bivalvia, Myida, Dreissenidae. The transcript has 3 exons.